UCUAAGUUUGAUGGCGACCGGCGCACGGGUAAGUAACACGUAUCCAACCUGCCGAUGACUCGGGGAUAGCCUUUCGAAAGAAAGAUUAAUACCCGAUGGCAUAGUUCUUCCGCAUGGUAGAACUAUUAAAGAAUUUCGGUCAUCGAUGGGGAUGCGUUCCAUUAGGUUGUUGGCGGGGUAACGGCCCACCAAGCCUUCGAUGGAUAGGGGUUCUGAGAGGAAGGUCCCCCACAUUGGAACUGAGACACGGUCCAAACUCCUACGGGAGGCAGCAUG
RNAcentral lists this ribosomal RNA (276 nucleotides) under uncultured bacterium. RNAcentral describes it as "partial 16S ribosomal RNA". It matches the Rfam family "Bacterial small subunit ribosomal RNA", at positions 78 to 353 of the family's 1533-position model. The record is from RNAcentral.